Molecule: long non-coding RNA, 956 nt
Organism: Oncorhynchus tshawytscha (Chinook salmon)
Lineage: Eukaryota; Metazoa; Chordata; Actinopteri; Salmoniformes; Salmonidae
Source: Ensembl
AAAAAAACUAAUUAAAAACAAUGAAAAUAAAAACUGAAAUAUUUACAACCCAACAAACAUAAGAAAAAAGAAUGACAAAAAAGCACACUAAGAAAAAGCUAAACUAAAAAUACGUGUUUUAAGAUGUUUUAAAUAUGUCCACAGUUUCGUCCCUCAGGUUCUCUGGCAGGCUGUUCCAGAGGCUGGGGGCAUAGUAACUAAAGGCUGGGGGCAUAGUAACUAAAGGCUGGGGGCAUAGUAACUAAAGGCUGGGGGCAUAGUAACUAAAGGCUGGGGGCAUAGUAACUAGAGACUGGGAGCAUAGUAACUAGAGGCUGGGGGCAUAGUAACUAAAGGCUGGGGGCAUAGUAACUAAAGGCUGGGGGCAUAGUAACUAAAGGCUGUCUCUCCAUGCCUCUUGGUCCCAGGCUUUGGGAUAGUUAAAAGGCUGUCUCUCCAUGCCUCUUGGUGCUUGGCUUUGGGAUAGUUAAAAGACCAGAGGCCCUGAGGGACCUACUGGGUACAUAACUUAAAUCAAAACUGGUGUCAUGUGUGUUCUCCGUCUGGUCUUGGUCAGUACCCGUGCUGCAGCAUUCUGUAUGUUUUACAGUACAGAGACCUUAAAACCGGUGUCAUGUGUGUUCUCCGUCUGGUCUUGGUCAGUACCCUGCAGCAUUCUGUAUGUUUUACAGUUGACCAAUGGCUUUCUUGGGUAGACCAGACAGGAGAGCAUUACAGUAAUCAAGUCUGCUUGUAAUAAAAGCGAUGAGUCUCUCUGUUUCAGCCUGAGAGAGAAACGGCCACACCUUGGCAAUGUUCCUCAGGUGGUCAAAAGCUAUCUUGUUCACAUUCCUGAUUGUGUGAUUAGAAAUUGAGUUCAGAAUCUAAAAUAACAACUAGUUUUUUUUACUUGGUGUUUUAUCUUUAUUACUGUGAGUUAAAAUGUGCGUCCAGAUUCUCUCUGUGCUUCAGUUCCA